CUAAGUUUAAGAAUAAGAGGUUGCUAACUCUGUGCCAGCAGCAGCGGUAAAACAGAGACCUCAAGCGUUAUCCGGAAUUAUUGGGCGUAAAGAGUCUGUAGGCGGCUUGAUUAGUCUUGUCUUAAAUUUUUGGGCUUAACCCAAAAACUGGGCAGGAAACGGUCAAACUAGAGAUUAGCAGAGGCAAGCGGAACUUAUGGUGUAGGGGUGAAAUCCGUUGAUAUCAUAAGGAACACCAAAGGCGAAGGCAGCUUGCUGGGCUAAUUCUGACGCUGAGAGACGAAAGCUAGGGGAGCGAAUGGGAUUAGAUACCCCAGUAGUCCUAGCUGUAAACGAUGGACACUAGCUGUUUGAAGUAUCGACCCUUCAAGUGGCGUAGCUAACGCGUUAAGUGUCCCGCCUGGGAAGUACGGCCGCAAGGCUGAAACUUAAAGGAAUAGACGGGGAGCUGCACAAGCGGUGGAGCAUGUGGCUUAAUUCGAUAGUAACCGAAAAACCUUACCAGGGCUUGAUAUCUCUCGUACCCAUUGAGAAAUCAACGGGGUUCCGCAAGGAACGGGAUGACAGGUACUGCAUGGUCGUCGUCAGUUCGUGUUGUGAAAUGUUCCCUUAAGUGGGGUAACGAACGCAACCCCUGCUCUGUAUUACAAGUGUUACAGAGGACUGCCUGCGUUAAGCAGGAGGAAGGCGGGGAUGACGUCAGAUCAGCAUGGUCUUUUGAUGCCCUGGGCUGCACACAUGCUACAAUGGCUGGUACAAAGGGCUGCUAAGCCGCAAGGCGGAGCCAAUCCCAUAAAACCAGUCUCAGUUCGGAUUGAGGUCUGCAAUUCGGCCUCAUGAAGCCGGAAUCGCUAGUAAUCGUGGAUCAGCAUGCCACGGUGAAUACGUUCUCAGCUCUUGUACUCACCGCCCGUCAAUCCAGUGAAGCCGGGAGUGCCCGAAGUUCCGCCAUAUAGGCGGACCUACGGCAAGCUCGGUGACAAGGGAUAAGUCGUAACAAGGCAUCCGUAGGGGAACCUGCGGAUGGAUCACCUCCUUUCUAGGGAG
RNAcentral lists this ribosomal RNA (1047 nucleotides) under Candidatus Portnoybacteria bacterium CG23_combo_of_CG06-09_8_20_14_all_37_13. Its description in RNAcentral is "bacterial SSU rRNA". It matches the Rfam family "Bacterial small subunit ribosomal RNA", at positions 474 to 1533 of the family's 1533-position model. Lineage: Bacteria; Candidatus Portnoyibacteriota. The record is from RNAcentral.